RNAcentral lists this ribosomal RNA (463 nucleotides) under uncultured bacterium. Its description in RNAcentral is "partial 16S ribosomal RNA". It matches the Rfam family "Bacterial small subunit ribosomal RNA", at positions 339 to 795 of the family's 1533-position model. The record is from RNAcentral.
CUACGGGCUGCACCAGUGGGGAAUAUUGCACAAUGGGCGCAAGUCUGAUGCAGCCAUGCCGCGUGUAUGAAGAAGGCCUUCGGGUUGUAAAGUACUUUCAGCGGGGAGGAAGGGAGUAAAGUUAAUACCUUUGCUCAUUGACGUUACCCGCAGAAGAAGCACCGGCUAACUCCGUGCCAGCAGCCGCGGUAAUACGGAGGGUGCAAGCGUUAAUCGGAAUUACUGGGCGUAAAGCGCACGCAGGCGGUUUGUUAAGUCAGAUGUGAAAUCCCCGGGCUCAACCUGGGAACUGCAUCUGAUACUGGCAAGCUUGAGUCUCGUAGAGGGGGUAGAAUUCCAGGUGUAGCGGUGAAAUGCGUAGAGAUCUGGAGGAAUACCGGUGGCGAAGGCGGUCCCCUGGACGAAGACUGACGCUCAGGUGCGAAAGCGUGGGGAGCAAACAGGAUUAGAUACCCGCGUAGUC